RNAcentral lists this ribosomal RNA (492 nucleotides) under uncultured bacterium. Its description in RNAcentral is "partial 16S ribosomal RNA". It matches the Rfam family "Bacterial small subunit ribosomal RNA", at positions 29 to 507 of the family's 1533-position model. The record is from RNAcentral.
AGUGAACGCUGGCGGUAGGCCUAACACAUGCAAGUCGAACGGCAGCACAGUAAGAGCUUGCUCUUACGGGUGGCGAGUGGCGGACGGGUGAGGAAUACAUCGGAAUCUACUUUUUCGUGGGGGAUAACGGAGGGAAACCUACGCUAAUAUCGCAUACGACCUACGGGUGAAAGCAGGGGAUCUUCGGACCUUGCGCGAUUGAAUGAGCCGAUGUCGGAUUAGCUAGUUGGCGGGCUAAAGGCCCACCAAGGCGACGAUCCGUAGCUGAUCUGAGAGAAUGGUCAGCCACACUUGAACUUGGACACGGUCCAGACUCCUACGAGACGCAGCAGUGGGGAAUAGGCGACAAUGGUCGCAAGCCUGAUCCAGCGAUACCGCGUGAGUUAAGAAGGCCUUCGGGUUGUGAAGCCCUUUUUUUGGUAAAGAAAAGCAGCAGGUUAAUACCCCGCUGUUCUGACGGUACCCGGAAAAUAAGCACCGGCUAACUUCGUG